CUACGAGAUGCAGCAGUGAGGAAUAUUGCACAAUGGGGGGAACCCUGAUGCAGCAACGCCGCGUGGAGGAUGACGCAUUUCGGUGUGUAAACUCCUUUUAUAUGUCAAGAAAAUGACGGUAGCAUAUGAAUAAGCACCGGCUAACUCCGUGCCAGCAGCCGCGGUAAUACGGAGGGUGCAAGCGUUACUCGGAAUCACUGGGCGUAAAGGACGCGUAGGCGGGUUGGAAAGUCAGGUGUGAAAUCCUACAGCUUAACUGUAGAACUGCACUUGAAACUUCUAAUCUAGAGUAUGGGAGGGGGAGAUGGAAUUAGUGGUGUAGGGGUAAAAUCCGUAGAUAUCACUAGGAAUACCUAAAGCGAAGGCGAUCUCCUGGAACAUUACUGACGCUAAGGCGUAAAAGCGUGGGGAGCAAACAGGAUUAGAUACCCCGGUAGUC
This 439-nucleotide ribosomal RNA is filed under the name uncultured bacterium. RNAcentral describes it as "partial 16S ribosomal RNA". It matches the Rfam family "Bacterial small subunit ribosomal RNA", at positions 339 to 795 of the family's 1533-position model. The record is from RNAcentral.